GCGGGUAUAGUUUAGGGGUAAAACAUGUCCUUCCCAAGGACAGGUCACGGGUUCGAAUCCCGUUACUCGCU
This 71-nucleotide transfer RNA is filed under the name Candidatus Nealsoniibacteriota bacterium. Its description in RNAcentral is "Candidatus Nealsonbacteria bacterium tRNA-Gly". It matches the Rfam family "tRNA". Rfam says of the family: Transfer RNA (tRNA) molecules are approximately 80 nucleotides in length. Their secondary structure includes four short double-helical elements and three loops (D, anti-codon, and T loops). The record is from RNAcentral. Lineage: Bacteria; Candidatus Nealsoniibacteriota.